CCGAUGCAAACUGCGAAUACCGGAGAAUGUUAUCACGGGAGACACACGGCGGGUGCUAACGUCCGUCGUGAAGAGGGAAACAACCCAGACCGCCAGCUAAGGUCCCAAAGUCAUGGUUAAGUGGGAAACGAUGUGGGAAGGCCCAGACAGCCAGGAUGUUGGCUUAGAAGCAGCCAUCAUUUAAAGAAAGCGUAAUAGCUCACUGGUCGAGUCGGCCUGCGCGGAAGAUGUAACGGGGCUAAACCAUGCACCGAAGCUGCGGCAGCGACACUAUGUGUUGUUGGGUAGGGGAGCG
Molecule: ribosomal RNA, 295 nt
Filed under: Escherichia coli
Lineage: Bacteria; Pseudomonadati; Pseudomonadota; Gammaproteobacteria; Enterobacterales; Enterobacteriaceae
Description: partial 23S ribosomal RNA
Rfam family: Bacterial large subunit ribosomal RNA
Source: RNAcentral